Pelobates cultripes (western spadefoot toad) is the source of this 280-nucleotide non-coding RNA. The record is from the annotation of a GenBank genome assembly. Lineage: Eukaryota; Metazoa; Chordata; Amphibia; Anura; Pelobatidae.
CUAUUACAGUUCUUCGGUAUGCGAUUGACUCCAUGGCAAGGCUAUCUGGGGUAAGUCCAUUCGUGCAUUUAAACCUCCCGAACGGCCGGUGUUCGCACACUUCUGUCGAUUGAGAAGGGAGGUCGACGGCUUCAGCGGUGUUCGGUUGAAAAAGUGUCCGUUUUCAGUUCCAUGAAGUCAAUGCCGAACACCGCUGGUCUCUCGCAUGGCUUAAAAUGGCCGCCGCCUUGUGGUCAACAUACGAACGACGACCACCCUGUAUUCGGUCUUAAUUGAGAAG